UACGUAGGGGGCUAGCGUUGUCCGGAAUCAUUGGGCGUAAAGCGCGCGUAGGCGGCCCGGUAAGUCCGCUGUAAAAGUCAAAGGCUCAACCUUUGAAUGUCAGUGGAUACUGCCGGGCUAGAGUCCGGAAGAGGCGAGUGGAACUCCUGGUGUAGCGGUGGAAUGCGCAGAUAUCAGGAAGAACACCAAUGGCGAAGGCAGCUCUCUGGGACGGUACUGACGCUGAGACGCGAAAGCGUGGGGAGCGAACAGG
RNAcentral lists this ribosomal RNA (253 nucleotides) under uncultured bacterium. RNAcentral's name for it is "partial 16S ribosomal RNA". It matches the Rfam family "Bacterial small subunit ribosomal RNA", at positions 524 to 776 of the family's 1533-position model. The record is from RNAcentral.